UUCCAUGUAGGUGCAGGUAUCAUGGUAACCAGAAAUGGCAGUGCUCUGGAUUAAAAGGCAGUGUGACCUUCGGGCCAGAAGAGGCAGGAAUAAUUGUGUGGAGUCUCCAUCUGUGUUUGAGUGCCCUGAAACAGCUGUGGGAAGAAGAGAGAACAGUGAAUUGAAAACCACCAAGGCCAUGCGCUUUUCCUGUUGUUGGUGAAAGAGGUGAAGAAGGUGCUGGAGGAGGCCUUGAUGUUCCUCUACACACUGCUGUGGGCUAAGAUCUACCUGGAUUCCAAGGUAUGUCGUUUUACC
Molecule: long non-coding RNA, 297 nt
Filed under: Fukomys damarensis (Damara mole-rat)
Lineage: Eukaryota; Metazoa; Chordata; Mammalia; Rodentia; Bathyergidae
Description: lncRNA (ENSFDAG00000031719.1)
Source: RNAcentral